This 406-nucleotide ribosomal RNA is filed under the name uncultured bacterium. Its description in RNAcentral is "partial 16S ribosomal RNA". It matches the Rfam family "Bacterial small subunit ribosomal RNA", at positions 30 to 526 of the family's 1533-position model. The record is from RNAcentral.
AUUGCACGCUGGCGGCAGGCCUAACACAUGCAAGUCGAGCGAGGGGCGGACGGGUGAGUAAUGUCUGGGAAACUGCCUGAUGGAGGGGGAUAACUACUGGAAACGGUAGCUAAUACCGCAUACCAUCGGAUGUGCCCAGAUGGGAUUAGCUAGUAGGUGAGGGAACGGCUCACCUAGGCGCCGAUCCCUAGCUGGUCUGAGAGGAGGACCAGCCAUACUGGAACUGAGCCACGGUCCAGACUCCUACGUGAGGCAGCAGUGGGUAAUAUUGCACAAUGGGCGCAAGCCUGAUGCAGCCAUGCCGCGUGUAUGAAGAAGGCCUUCGGGUUGUAAGGUACUUUCAGCGGGGAGGCGUUACCCGCAGAAGAAGCACCGGCUAACUCCGUGCCAGCAGCCGCGGUAAUUC